RNAcentral lists this ribosomal RNA (497 nucleotides) under uncultured bacterium. Its description in RNAcentral is "partial 16S ribosomal RNA". It matches the Rfam family "Bacterial small subunit ribosomal RNA", at positions 28 to 507 of the family's 1533-position model. The record is from RNAcentral.
GAUGAACGCUGGCGGCGUGCCUAAUACAUGCAAGUCGAGCGAACAGACGAGGAGCUUGCUCCUCUGACGUUAGCGGCGGACGGGUGAGUAACACGUGGAUAACCUACCUAUAAGACUGGUAUAACUUCGGGAAACCGGAGCUAAUACCGGAUAAUAUAUUGAACCGCAUGGUUCAAUAGUGAAAGACGGUUUUGCUGUCACUUAUAGAUGGAUCCGCGCCGCAUUAGCUAGUUGGUAAGGUAACGGCUUACCAAGGCAACGAUGCGUAGCCGACCUGAGAGGGUGAUCGGCCACACUGGAACUGAGACACGGUCCAGACUCCUACGGGAGGCAGCAGUAGGGAAUCUUCCGCAAUGGGCGAAAGCCUGACGGAGCAACGCCGCGUGAGUGAUGAAGGUCUUCGGAUCGUAAAACUCUGUUAUUAGGGAAGAACAAAUGUGUAAGUAACUAUGCACGUCUUGACGGUACCUAAUCAGAAAGCCACGGCUAACUACGUG